This 459-nucleotide ribosomal RNA is filed under the name Magallana bilineata (tropical oyster). RNAcentral describes it as "partial large subunit ribosomal RNA". It matches the Rfam family "Bacterial large subunit ribosomal RNA", at positions 1915 to 2611 of the family's 2925-position model. Lineage: Eukaryota; Metazoa; Mollusca; Bivalvia; Ostreida; Ostreidae. The record is from RNAcentral.
AUAUUAAUGUAAACGGCCGCCCUAGCGUGAGGGUGCUAAGGUAGCGAAAUUCCUUGCCUUUUGAUUGUAGGCCUGCAUGAAUGGUUUAACGAGGGUUUAGCUGUCUCUAAAUUUUUAAUUGAAAUUGUAUUGAAGGUGAAGAUACCUUCAUUUAAAAGUUAGACAAAAAGACCCCGUGCAACUUUGAAAAUUAACUUUAUUCAGGGGUAAAAGAUUUUUAGGUGGGGCGCCUAGAAAGUAAGCCUAACCUUUCUGAGUAAGAGUUUCUUUCAGGAGUUGACCCGAUUAUAUUCGAUCAUAGGAGAAGUUACGCCGGGGAUAACAGGCUAAUCCUUUAGUAGAGCUCGUAUUGGCUAAAGGGAUUGGCACCUCGAUGUUGAAUCAGGGAUGAUAGCUUCAAGGCGUAGAGGCUUUGAGAGUAGGUCUGUUCGACCUUUAAUACCCUACGUGAUCUGAGUU